UUGGACUUUGGUAUCCAGAUCACAUGUACCUCCACCCAAACCACAAUUAUGUUACUAGUUUAUUGACCUUUGAUCACAAGAGCCUUGGAAUAACUCCCCAAGUAAAGAACUGCAGAAAAUAAAUGGAAGCAAAGAUCAAAGGCGAUUAAAUUAAAUGACUAGCCAAUCCCAAAUAGACAAGUAUGUGACCGUACGCAUGUAGCUUUAUGAGAUGCAAUCCUAGGAGCAUGCACAAAUCAUAUUUAACUAAGCGAGUGCUUCUAUGAUUUCUAGGAAUAUUGUUGAGCUCGUAAAUCGUGUACCAUUAAAAUAAAAUUGGUGCCAAAUAGUCCCACAGCUUAUUACCGUGAUCCAGUAUGAAGUGAUGGCAUUUUGUCUCUUCUUUUUACCAGAAAUGUCUAAACAUGACGAGCGUGACCCAAAAUCAGUUUGGUUUCAUGUCUGGGAGAUCAACUAUGGAGGUCAUUUUCUUACUAAGACAACUUAUGGAGAGAUUCAGAGAACAAAAAAAAGACCUGCAUAUGGUCUUCAUAGACUUGGAGAAGGCUUAUGACAAAGUACCUAGGAGUGUAAUGUGGUGGGCCUUGGAAAAACACAAAGUAUCAACAAAGUACAUUAAUCUUAUUAAAGAUAUGUACACUAAUGUUGUGACAAGUGUCCGAACAAGUGAUGGAGACACCGAUGACUUUCCAAUUAACAUAGGACUACAUCAAGGGUCGGCUUUGAGCUCUUAUCUUUUCGCUUUGGUGAUAGAUGAGGUCACAAGUGACAUACAAGGAGAUAUACCGUGGUGUAUGUUUUUGCCGAUGAUGUGGUACUUAUUGAGGAGAGUAGGAGUGGUGUUUCGCAAAAGUUGGAAUUGUGGAGGCAGACGCUGGAAGCAAAAAGUUUUAGGCUUAGUAGGUCUAAAACAGAGUACAUGAAGCGUAAUUUCAGUGCCAUGGGGUAUGAGGAUGGCGAUGUUAGUCUUGAUGGGCAAGUGGUACCCAAGAAAGACACUUUUCGUUACUUAGGAUCAAUGCUUCAGAAGGAGGGAGACAUCGAUGAGAAUGUCAGUCAUAGAAUUAAAGCUGGAUGGUUGAAGUGGCAGCAAGCUGCGGAUGUCUUAUGCGACCCCCGGGUGCCACACAAACAAAAAGGCAAGUUUUACAGGACAACAAUCCGGCCGACUAUGUUGUAUGGAGCAGAAUGUUGGCCCACUAAAAGACGACAUGUCAUGGACCUUCGGUCCACGGGGAUAGUUGUCUUCUCCGGCGAGGUCAGUGGCGGACCCAGAAAUUAGCCAAGCCCCGGGCCGAAGCAACAUAGACUCUAAUAGUAGUAUAUAAAAAAAAAUUGUACCAUGAAACAAUGUUUCUAUAAAUGUUAAAGAUGAUAUUCCGCAACUCAAUUUUAAUAAUAUUCAUAGAUAAGAAAGCUCUCUCCACAGAUGCUGUUGUCACUGAUAAAAUCAAAGCUAAUUUAAUUUAAUGAGACGAUAUACAAAUGGAAAGACAACAUGCCUGUCACUAGAGAUGACAAUGGGUACCCGCUACCCGAAACCCGGUGGGUUUUUGCUCUAUUAGGGUAUGGGUUUGGGUCAAUUUCUCUACUCAUGGGUUUGUUAAUGGGUUCAAAUGGAAACCCAACGGGUACGUGGGCAUGGAUUUGUUCUUCCACUACCCAUACCCGCAAACCCAUGGGUUUUUAAAACCCGCCUUAAAAUCAAAAUUUCUUAUAAAUAUGUCUCAUAAUAUUAUUAAUUAAAUAUGUUCUAAUUGAAAUAAACUUCAUGUAACAAAUUUUAAGCUAAAAUUAGUUAUCACUUGUUCCUUUUAUCCUAGCUUAUUAAUGUAUUGAUUGUUAUUUACAUGAUGAAUUAUUUUUUAUGUUGAUGUUAGUGGGUAUGGAAAACCCGUUGAGUACCCGAAACCCGCAUGGGUAUGCCAUCUCUACCUGUCACUCUGAACCACCGGUAAAAUCAAAAUAAUGAACAAUGACUGGCCAUUUUUCAAAGACAAGAAAUGACUGUCGUCUGCAGGCUGCGGCGGUGGCGCGGGCGCCGGGCGGGCAAGGCGAGCCGGCGAGCCACUUAGCCGCUCAGGCUCCAGCCGCAAGCAGCACCGCGGCAGCCGGCAGGCCGCAGCCGCAGUCGCACGGCGCGUCCGCGCGUGGCCGGACGGCGGACAGGCGACGCCGGCGACUAGGCGAGGCCGUUGGCCGCACGCGGCACGCACAAUCCGGCGAGUGCGUGAUGGCGCACGGCACGACCGCACGACGCUUGGGCGCUUGGCCGGACGACUGGGCGUGGGCGAGGACGGCUGGACGGGGUCAAGAGUCAAGACUCACCGGAUUGCGCGUGCCGGCAUGCCCUGCGUGACCGUACGACUCGGCGGAACUGAAUUCUGAUGGCUGGCGGCUAGGGUUCUGAGGCUGCAUCGCACUGAUUGUUCGUGGGCCGUGGGCUGCGUAUAUUUUCUAUUUUUUUACCCGCGCCCCGGGCCGUGGCCCAGGUGGCCAUGGGCCUGGGUCCGCCCCUGGGCGAGGUUAUACCCCUCUGCCGCAGGCUUGGUUCUAGGGUAGCAGCCCUAGGCGCUUGAGAGGAUCAUUGCAAGAGAGAGAUUGGUUUGAUAAUAAUCUUGCUUGAUUUAUUCCCUGCUGCCAUGCGGCUUAUAAAUAGCCCUAUGGCUAACCAACUUCUCCUACAAACUCUCAACUAACUCCUACUUUUUUGGACUUAUCUGCUGCUAACCAACUCUCUACAAUUCUCUCAUCUCAAUCUUAUUCUCUAGCCUUAUCCCAGCUCAUCUCAAUCUUAUUCUUUCCUUUCCUGUGGGUGCGGACUGCAUGGUGGUGACCGCUCCCUAUGAUGCCCAUGACACGACAUGUCCAACAACUAAGUGUGGCAGAGAUGAGUAUGUUGCGCUGGAUAUGUGGCCACACAAGGAGAGAUCGAGUCUGGAAUGAUGAUAUACGAGAGAGAGUAGGAGUGGCGCCAAUUGAGGAGAAGCUUAUGCAACAUCGUUUGAGAUGGUUUGGACAUAUCCAACGAAGACCUGGAGAGGCACCAGUGCAUAUUGGAAUAAUUAGGCGUCCCGAGAAUGUGAAGAGAGGUAGAGGUCGACCAACCUUGACGUGGACAGAGGCUAUGAAAAGGGACCUGAAGGAGUGAAAUAUUGAUAAAGAGCUCGCCGUGGAUAGGAAGGAGUGGAAGUGUGCAAUUCACGUGCCAGAACCCUGAUUUGUAGUUUCGCUUUUCCUCCUUAAUCAUUUGACCUUUUCUUGUGCCCCUUUAGAUCUUGCUGGUUCUUGUGGGUUUUAUUUAUUUUUAUGUGUUUCCCCGUUUCGUCGUUUUUCGGUUCUCCUUUGCCUUUGUCUCCCUUUUCUUUUCUUUGGGGUUGAGCUCUGAGAUUUUCAUAUGGGGUUUCAUCUCUAGCCUACCCCAACGUGCUUGGGACAAAAAGGCUUUGUUGUUGUUGUUGUCUAAACAUUUUUACAUAGGCAUUUGCAAAAGUGGUUCAUUUUAAAUUGGACAUGAUUAGAAACAAACGAGAUGAUAGCAUAAUUACAAAUGUAUCUAUUGAUUUGUUUCAAUCAAAGUAAAGGAAAAUGUAAUCGUUAAUAAAGAAGAGAAUUAUACCAUAUAAGUUGAGAUAACCAGAAAAGAAAAUUUCUACUAUGACUUUUUCUGUUAGACAGAACCAUGUAUUUGAUGGCAAGGUAGUGGGGGUAUUUUACAUAUAAAAUUCCAACCUUUUCAGAAACAGUUGUCCCGGAAUUUGUGGUUUGCCUUUAUUUGAGUAGAGAGGACAAAUUUUGAUUGGCCCUACACCAAUAUAUGCUAGAAUCUCUAAUCAAGAGACCACCCCUGAUCCCCUGUUUUCACCACUGAGGUUAGGCCCUGUUGCCUGCAUUUCAGUGGUCAUGCUUGUGUCACCGGAAUCAGAAUUGACAAAUGAAUUUGGUGAGUUAUUCAACAAUAGUUACAAGUACAAGGCACCUUUUCUACAAAAUUCCCAAAAUCUACCACAGCAUGAAUAGACAGUUUGGGUCUCAGUUCCUCUUGUUUAUAUGUGAAAAACGGCCGUCCCCAGUUCCUCCUGUUUGCAAACCACCAUUUUAAAAAAAAAAUCUCAAAAAACACUCGUGGUAUUGUGCAAGAGAGGAUUUUCUUACCAAGGAAUCCUUCUGAAGCUGCAGAAUCACCCUUGCAAGUUGACUUUAUAUAUGGAAAAUAUGGAAGCGCCAAGCGGGUAUGGACCUAUGAUUGGAUUCCUGCGUGGU
RNAcentral lists this long non-coding RNA (4263 nucleotides) under Zea mays. RNAcentral's name for it is "long non-coding RNA (ZMAY_LNC001238)". The record is from RNAcentral. Lineage: Eukaryota; Viridiplantae; Streptophyta; Magnoliopsida; Poales; Poaceae.